UGUCAGGGAUAAUACCUGUUUCAAAAGACAAGUUAACACAUUUUGUCAGUAUCGCAAUUAAUGUUUCAUGGCAAUCUUUCAUUAAAUACCCUGGAACUGGAUCCACCACACAUGAUUUUUUCCACAUGGGCUUGAGAAGAGAGCUGAGUUCUUCAUUUGAUGUAAUAGAGAGAUUAUCAAGCCAGUUAGAGGAGCAUUUCUCUUCUGGAAACAGAUAUGUUUGUGUUGAAGGGAAAGUGUUACGAAUAGUUUCAACUUUCUUUGUAAAAAAGUUUGAAAAACUUUCCGCGAGAUCUUUAGGACAGUCACGAGACAGUAAUUUAUUACUAGAUUUAGAAUUUAUAGUUUUAUAGUUUCAGCAUAAAAGUUCAUUUUGAAAUCAUAAAUACCCUGGUUUACUCGAACACAUUGUUCAACAUACAUCUCACGAUGGGUUUUUCGCCAUAGUCGUUUAAGUUUUCUCCGCUGUUUCUUUGCUUCCUUAACCUCAUCAGAAUACCAGGGAGCAGCAGGUCUUACUGUUACAGUACUUGUAACUAGCGGAGCAUGAUUAUUAGGGCUGAAGGUGCGCUCUCUCACUGCGGAUUGGGCCACUCCAAAUUGAAAGCUGUUCAAGCUGCAUAGGGCUCCUAAUUUCUAGAUGGCGAGGUUGUUUAAAAGACACCAAUUAAUAUACUCCGAGGAGUCACGUGACCUCUACUUCAUCUGUGACCCUCCACAUUUGAUAAAGACAACUCGGAAUUGCUGGGAGAAGUAACAUAAUGGACAGAGCAAGAGAAAAAUGAAGAACGAUGGGAUGGAUAUCAGCUGGCAGCACCUAGUAACACUCUACGAACGGGAUGUUUGCAUCAACCGUAAUGCCCCAGGACUGAGGCUGAUUCCUAAGUUGACGCAUGAGCAUGUGUUUCUCAACAGCUUUUUACGUAUGAGGGUCAACCUAGCUGCUCAGGUAAUUUUUCAGGAACCUUUUUUUUUGGACAAAAUUAAAUUCAGAAAAUGUGUUUAUUUUCAGGUUUUGUCAUCUUCUCUCGUCAAUGCCUUUAAGUUCAUUGGGAGGAGAACACCAAAGCUACUGGGAAAUUUGUCUCAAUGAUGGACACCUUAAGAAUGCAGUUGAAGGUGUCAGGUCAAGAAAGCUGUUCAAGUUGCCAUACGAAAAAGGCAGCAGUCUGUUGCAAGAGAUUAUGGACACCUACCCAAGGAGCAAACCAACAGAACGUGCCUUAGUCGUGAAACCUUGGAAGGUCUCAGAAUAACUCGUAA
This is a long non-coding RNA of Nematostella vectensis (starlet sea anemone), 1263 nucleotides long. RefSeq lists it as uncharacterized. Lineage: Eukaryota; Metazoa; Cnidaria; Anthozoa; Actiniaria; Edwardsiidae. The transcript is spliced from 3 exons. The record is from RefSeq and is a predicted model, not a curated record.